UACGUAGGUGGCAAGCGUUGUCCGGAUUUAUUGGGUUUAAAGGGUGCGUAGGCGGCCUUGUAAGUCAGUGGUGAAAUACUCCAGCUUAACUGGAGGGGUGCCAAUGAUACUGCAGGGCUUGAGUACAGAUGAGGUAGGCGGAAUUGACGGUGUAGCGGUGAAAUGCAUAGAUAUCGUCAAGAACACCGAUAGCGAAGGCAGCUUACUGGGCUGUAACUGACGCUGAGGCACGAAAGCGUGGGGGAGCAAACAGG
Molecule: ribosomal RNA, 254 nt
Filed under: uncultured bacterium
Lineage: Bacteria
Description: partial 16S ribosomal RNA
Rfam family: Bacterial small subunit ribosomal RNA
Source: RNAcentral